AACUCAACGUGGCCGUCUCGGCUUUUCAGAGUCUCAUCUCUUCGCCUCCCCUUUCGUUAUCUCUUCACCUUCCCUGUGGUUCAGUGUAUUUGUUUUAAUUCUACCAUAAUUGUUAAUCCCAUUGAAUCCAGAUUCCAUGUCGUCUUCUCCCUUUCAUUCAUCUCAAAUCUAUAAAUAUAAGCAGGUUGAGAGUAUGAUGGAUGCUCAGCACGAUUGUCAGUUUACCAUUUUAUUAAGCUAGAAAGAUUUUCAAAAAUGUCUUCCUCCGAUGCUGUUUUUUUGCACUCUGCGUUUGAGGCUCUCCGCCUUUGAAGAUCUGGCCAGUUUAUUGUUGCCAAAUUAAUCUGUUUUUGGGACUUGAAAAACAUCAAGAAACAUGGGUAAUUCAUGGAAAUCACUCUACUUCUCUUGAUGAUAAGAAUUCGGUGAUACAUGGAUUCAUCCUGCUGGUCGCGCCUCUUACUACCGUCCGUCUUUGCAAGGAGGUUCAGUCGUGAAGUUAAUUGGAGAGAGGAAGGAGCUGUCAUUCCAGUCAAAAAUCAGGGACACAUAUGUGGAAGUUGUUGGACGCUCUCGGUGGUUGGAGCGGUGAACGGUAUAAACAAGAUCAAGACCGGAGAAUUGAUAUAUUUGUGGGAACAAGAGUUCAUAGACUACUACAGAGAGGACGGCAAUGGUGGAUGUGAUGGAGGUACAGCAGCCAACACUUUCUAAGUUCAUUUAUCUCAAGUAUCGUAUUAAUUGUUUGAGUUGUAGUAUUGGGAAAAAGAUUCGAUAUGCAUCUCGCAGAGCGAGAGCUUACACGAGAAAAAUAGUGAGAGGAAGAUUCGUGAAAGCUGGUGACAAUUAUGACUAUGACCCACUAACCAUGAAAUCAAUGAGUUUUCUCUUCCCCUAAAACAAUUUUUAUUUUGAAUCGAGGAAAUCAACAUGUUGCGGCAUGGAAACGUUGGAGACCUGCACAAAGAAUGCUUAGAUGUAGUGAAAGUGACGAAUUGGGUGGAAGGCCAAAAU
Molecule: long non-coding RNA, 1014 nt
Organism: Brassica oleracea var. oleracea
Lineage: Eukaryota; Viridiplantae; Streptophyta; Magnoliopsida; Brassicales; Brassicaceae
Exons: 4
Source: RefSeq, a predicted model, not a curated record